GUCUUUUUGAUAAUAAUUUAAAGUCUGGCCUGCCCAAUGAUAAUUUAAAUGGCCGCGGUAUUUUGACCGUGCAAAGGUAGCAUAAUCAUUAGUUUUUUAAUUGAAAGCUUGUAUGAAAGGUUGAACGAGAAAAUUACUGUCUCAAUUUUAUUUAAUAAGAAUUUUAUUUUUAAGUUAAAAAGCUUAAAUAUUUUUAAAAGACGAGAAGACCCUAUAGAGUUUUAUAUUUUUUAUAAUAUAUUUUUAAAUUAUUAAUAAAAUUAUUGAAAAUAUUUUAUUGGGGUGAUAAAUAAAUUUAAUAAACUUUAUUUAUUUUUAAACAUUUAUUUAUGUUAAUAAUGAUCCAAAUUUUUUGAUUAUAAGAUUAAAUUACCUUAGGGAUAACAGCGUAAUUUUUUUUGAGAGUUCAUAUCGAAAAAAAAGAUUGCGACCUCGAUGUUGGAUUAAAAUUUAUUUUUGGUGUAGAAGCUAAAAAAUUAAGUCUGUUCGACUUUUAAAAUUUUACAUGAUCUGAGUUUAAACCGGUGUGAGCCAGGUUGGUUUCUAUCUUUAAAUAAUGAGAAUAUUUUAGUACGAAAGGACCAAAUAUUUAUAAGAUUUAUUUAAUUAUUGAAUAUUAGUGUUAUUUUGGCAGAUUAGUGCAUUAAAUUUAGAAUUUAAUUAUGUAAUUUAUUACAAAUAAUACUUGUUUUAUAAAGAUUUAAUUUUAAUAUUCAUUAGAAGUUUAUUGUUAGUAAUCUGUAUUUUAAUU
This 751-nucleotide ribosomal RNA is filed under the name Ochthebius subinteger. RNAcentral's name for it is "partial large subunit ribosomal RNA". The stretch from base 1 to 574 matches the Rfam family "Bacterial large subunit ribosomal RNA", at positions 1819 to 2925 of the family's 2925-position model. The record is from RNAcentral. Lineage: Eukaryota; Metazoa; Arthropoda; Insecta; Coleoptera; Hydraenidae.